This 497-nucleotide ribosomal RNA is filed under the name uncultured bacterium. RNAcentral describes it as "partial 16S ribosomal RNA". It matches the Rfam family "Bacterial small subunit ribosomal RNA", at positions 28 to 507 of the family's 1533-position model. The record is from RNAcentral.
GAUGAACGCUGGCGGCGUGCCUAAUACAUGCAAGUCGAGCGAACGGACGAGAAGCUUGCUUCUCUGAUGUUAGCGGCGGACGGGUGAGUAACACGUGGAUAACCUACCUAUAAGACUGGGAUAACUUCGGGAAACCGUAGCUAAUACCGGAUAAUAUUUUGAACCGCAUUGUUCAAAAGUGAAAGACGGUCUUGCUGUCACUUAUAGAUUGAUCCGCGCUGCAUUAGCUAGUUGGUAAGGUAACGGCUUACCAAGGCAACGAUGCAUAGCCGACCUGAAAGGGUGAUCGGCCAGACUGGCACUGAGACACGGUCCAGACUCCUACGGGAGGAAGCAGUAGGGAAUCUUCCGCAAUGGAGGAGAGCCUGACGGAGCAACGCCGCGUGAGUGAUGAAGGUCUUCGGAUCGUAAAACUCUGUUAUUAGGGAAGAACAUAUGUGUAAGUAACUGUGCACAUCUUGACGGUACCUAAUCAGAAAGCCACGGCUAACUCCGUG